CGGAGGAUCCAAGCGUUAUCCGGAUUAUUGGGUUUAAAGGGUGCGUAGGCGGCCUGUUAAGUCAGGGUGAAGACGGUAGCUCAACUAUCGCAGUGCCCUUGAUACUGAUGGGCUUGAAUGGACUAGAGGUAGGCGGAAUGUGACAAGUAGCGGUGAAAUGCAUAGAUAUGUCACAGAACACCGAUUGCGAAGGCAGCUUACUAUGGUCCUAUUGACGCUGAGGCACGAAAGCGUGGGAUCAAACAGGAUU
RNAcentral lists this ribosomal RNA (250 nucleotides) under uncultured bacterium. Its description in RNAcentral is "partial 16S ribosomal RNA". It matches the Rfam family "Bacterial small subunit ribosomal RNA", at positions 526 to 779 of the family's 1533-position model. The record is from RNAcentral.